UCCCAAUUAGCUCAGUGGUUAGAGCGUCUGUCUUGUAAAACCCGAAGGUCCCCGGUUCGAUUCCGGGCAUCCGCUA
Molecule: non-coding RNA, 76 nt
Organism: Aphanomyces invadans
Lineage: Eukaryota; Oomycota; Saprolegniomycetes; Saprolegniales; Verrucalvaceae
Source: the annotation of a RefSeq genome assembly